AGAGUUUGAUCCUGGCUCAGAUUGAACGCUGGCGGCAGGCUUAACACAUGCAAGUCGAACGGUAACAUGGGUGCUUGCACCUGAUGACGAGUGGCGGACGGGUGAGUAAUGUAUGGGGAUCUGCCGAAUGGAAUGGGACAACAGUUGGAAACGACUGCUAAUACCGUAUAAUGUCGCGAGACCAAAGUGUGGGACCUUCGGGCCUCUUGCCAUCAGAUGUGCCCAGAUGGGAUUAGCUAGUAGGUGGGGUAACGGCUCACCUAGGCGACGAUCCCUAGCUGGUCUGAGAGGAUGACCAGCCACACUGGAACUGAGACACGGUCCAGACUCCUACGGGAGGCAGCAGUGGGGAAUAUUGCACAAUGGGCGCAAGCCUGAUGCAGCCAUGCCGCGUGAGUGAUGAAGGCCUUAGGGUUGUAAAGCUCUUUCACCGAUGAAGAUAAUGACGGUAGUCGGAGAAGAAGCCCCGGCUAACUUCGUGCCAGCAGCCGCGGUAAUAC
This 500-nucleotide ribosomal RNA is filed under the name uncultured bacterium. RNAcentral describes it as "bacterial SSU rRNA". It matches the Rfam family "Bacterial small subunit ribosomal RNA", at positions 8 to 526 of the family's 1533-position model. The record is from RNAcentral.